GUAUUGCUGAGGAGUCCCAUAAUAGGACGAAACGGCCGUCCACUGCUUCCAGUAU
This 55-nucleotide non-coding RNA is filed under the name Schistosoma mansoni. The record is from RNAcentral. Lineage: Eukaryota; Metazoa; Platyhelminthes; Trematoda; Strigeidida; Schistosomatidae.